RNAcentral lists this ribosomal RNA (512 nucleotides) under uncultured bacterium. RNAcentral's name for it is "partial 16S ribosomal RNA". It matches the Rfam family "Bacterial small subunit ribosomal RNA", at positions 28 to 523 of the family's 1533-position model. The record is from RNAcentral.
GACGAACGCUGGCGGCAUGUCUAAUACAUGCAAGUCGAGCGAACAGAUGAAGUGCUUGCACUUCUGACGUUAGCGGCGAACGGGUGAGUAACACGUGAGGAAUCUACCUAUAAGCGGGGGAUAACAUUCGGAAACGGGUGCUAAUACCGCAUAAUAUCUUCUUCCGCAUGGAAGAAGAUUGAAAGACGGCUCUGCUGUCACUUAUAGAUGACCUUGCGGUGCAUUAGUUAGUUGGUGGGGUAAUGGCCUACCAAGACGAUGAUGCAUAGCCGACCUGAGAGGGUGAUCGGCCACAUGGGGACUGAGACACGGCCCAAACUCCUACGGGAGGCAGCAGUAGGGAAUCUUCCGCAAUGGCGAAAGCCUGACGGAGCAAUGCCGCGUGAGUGAAGAAGGCCUUCGGGUCGUAAAACUCUGUUAUAAGAGAAGAACAAAUUGUAGAGUAACUGCUACAGUCUUGACGGUAUCUUAUCAGAAAGCCACGGCUAACUACGUGCCAGCCGCCGCCGUAA